Nomascus leucogenys (northern white-cheeked gibbon) is the source of this 1515-nucleotide long non-coding RNA. RefSeq lists it as uncharacterized. The record is from RefSeq and is a predicted model, not a curated record. The transcript has 3 exons. Lineage: Eukaryota; Metazoa; Chordata; Mammalia; Primates; Hylobatidae.
UGCUGCGCCUGAGCCCCAAGACCCUGGCACCUGGGCGCGCGCUCUGGCGCAGUGCCCGGUGCGAUGUCCGCGUCAGCCUCUCUCCUCCGGGAGAGGCAGGGAGUGUCACGCCCAUUUUACCAGCGGGCAAACUGAGGCUCAGGGAUGCUGGGUGAUUUGCCCGAGGACGCACACAGAGGGAAGGGCCAAGCCGGGAUUCCAACUCGGGACUCCCCGCUUCUUGGGGAGACCGGUGAGGCCCCCGCGACACGGCCCUCCCAUCCCCAAGCCUCUCGUGCAGAUCUCCGCUCUGUGGGGCUUGAUUGCGGGCUGCGGGCCCGUGGCUCCUGCAGGCAGAGAGAGGACGGGAGAGGAGACGGCGACGAGGCUUGGCCGCAGAGAGUGAGAAAGCAGAUCAAAGUUACAAAUUCUGCGAGAACAUCGCCAAGCAGAAUCUUGGGUGCUGUCCCCACCUCUCUGUACCUGCUCCCUCCCAGAGAAGCCAGCCUCCACUUGCUGUCCCGGGCCUUCUCUGAGAAAAGUUGAAGGAGCACAUGUCCUUGCGCAGGAAGAGGCUGUUCAGCGUGACCGCCCCGAUCAAGAAGAAGAGCUGCUUCACCGCCUGCCUCACGAGCUCGGGGUCCAGGCCGUUCUGGCACAUGGUGGUGUAAAAGUAGCUCAGCUGCUGCAGGACGGAGGUCAUGGUGUAGCCGUCCGUGUCGUCUACGCUGGAGGAGCGCUUCCGGAAGCCUGUGGGCUUCAGGCCGGAAAUGCCCUGCAGGCUCUCAUACUCCAGCAUUCCCGGAACUGCGGAGAGACAGGGAGGCUGUGCUGACAUGCCAGGAGACAAACGCGGAACGUUCCCGACGCUCUUCGGUUUGUUUCAGGAGAUGGGACAUUUUUCUACAAGAGUCAGUGGAUGUACUUAUGAUAGAGAAAGCAAAAGAAUCAAAGGUUUGGGACACCAGGGUGUGUGUCAGGGGUAGGGAUGGACGGCUGUUUCCAGCAGGGCUGCAGCUCCUCUUCUAGGUUUGAAGCAGCACGUUUUUCAGCUUCACAGGAAAGAAAGCUGGUUAGCAUCACAACCCAUGGCCUGGGCAUUAAAGCCUAAAGUAUUUAAAUUUCAGGAAAUUAAGGAAAGUAUACAAGAAUUCGAAUGGGGCUUUAGGAUUUCAAAAAUACUUGGCUAAGCCAAGAAGUAGAAGUACCACAUAAAUAGCAGUAGCAGAAGUUUCCCCAAGUUUUUUCCUUCAGGAUAAAUCAUCCUUAUAGAAAGAAAACUACCAACAGCAUACUAUUAUUUAUGGAAUCAUAAGCAAGCAAAGAAUUAAAAGGCAGAUACCUACAUGAUUAUAUUUCCUUGGCUUUUUAAACAAUGUUACACAUAAUCACACAUUACACAUACCAAGUUUAUGUUUUAAAAAGUCUUAAUGUUACUAUAAAUAUUUUUUGGUCAUCAAUUCUCUUCUUACCUAUUAUCGGUUGGAUAUUCUUUUCCGUUACGAUAAUAAAUUGAUGAUAUAUUCGUAUAGCCAC